ACGAACGCUGGCGGCGUGCUUAACACAUGCAAGUCGAACGGAAAGGCCCUGCUUUUGUGGGGUGCUCGAGUGGCGAACGGGUGAGUAACACGUGAGUAACCUGCCCUUGACUUUGGGAUAACUUCAGGAAACUGGGGCUAAUACCGGAUAGGAGCUCCUGCUGCAUGGUGGGGGUUGGAAAGUUUCGGCGGCUGGGGAUGGACUCGCGGCCUAUCAGCUUGUUGGUGGGGUAGUGGCUUACCAAGGCUUUGACGGGUAGCCGGCCUGAGAGGGUGACCGGCCACAUUGGGACUGAGAUACGGCCCAGACUCCUACGGGAGGCAGCAGUGGGGAAUAUUGCACAAUGGGCGGAAGCCUGAUGCAGCAACGCCGCGUGCGGGAUGACGGCCUUCGGGUUGUAAACCGCUUUCGCCUGUGACGAAGCGUGAGUGACGGUAAUGGGUAAAGAAGCACCGGCUAACUACGUG
Molecule: ribosomal RNA, 467 nt
Filed under: uncultured bacterium
Lineage: Bacteria
Description: partial 16S ribosomal RNA
Rfam family: Bacterial small subunit ribosomal RNA
Source: RNAcentral